CAGCCGCCGCGGUAAAACGGAGGGAGCUAGCGUUGUUCGGAAUUACUGGGCGUAAAGCGCACGUAGGCGGCUAUUCAAGUCAGGGGUGAAAGCCCGGGGCUCAACCCCGGAACUGCCUUUGAAACUAGAUAGCUUGAAUCUUGGAGAGGCGAGUGGAAUUCCGAGUGUAGAGAUGAAAUUCGUAGAUAUUCGGAAGAACACCAGUGGCGAAGGCGGCUUACUGGCUCAUUCUAGACGCUGAGGUGCGAAAGCGUGGGGAGCAAACAGGAUUAGAUACCCGCGUAGUCCCUGUCUCUUAUAC
Molecule: ribosomal RNA, 301 nt
Filed under: uncultured bacterium
Lineage: Bacteria
Description: partial 16S ribosomal RNA
Rfam family: Bacterial small subunit ribosomal RNA
Source: RNAcentral